RNAcentral lists this ribosomal RNA (714 nucleotides) under Triticum aestivum (bread wheat). RNAcentral describes it as "partial small subunit ribosomal RNA". The stretch from base 481 to 619 matches the Rfam family "Small nucleolar RNA Z247". The record is from RNAcentral. Lineage: Eukaryota; Viridiplantae; Streptophyta; Magnoliopsida; Poales; Poaceae.
AUGUCGUCCUCCUCCUCCAGCACCGUCCAGGCUUCCCUUGGGCAGGUCGCAGAAAAACUCACCCGCACCAACUAUGUCCUAUGGCGUGCGCAGGUGAUGCCGCAGCUGAGAGGAGCUGGGCUGUUUGGCUACGCCGACGGCACCAUGCCAGAACCUGUCAAGAUCCUCGUCACGAAGGACAAAGAUGGGAAAGAAGAGCAGACGAUGAACCCUCUCCAUCCGAUCUGGUUCAGAGAGGGGAAGCAGGUACUCAGAUACUUGCUCAAUACUCUCACCAAGGAGGUUCUCGUGCAGGUUACCUCCAUCGCCACGCCGCACGAGCUCUGGGCAGCUCUCGCCCACAUGUUCUUGUCACAGUCCCGAGCCCGCGUCAACAACAUCCGGGUCGCUCUCUCCACGGCGCAGAAGGGAACGCAGUCUGUCGCCGCCUACUUCGCCCAGAUGAGAGCGCUAACUGAUGAGCUUGCAGCCGCCGGGAAGCCCAUCGACGACGAUGAGCUUGUCUCCUACAUCACCGUCGGCCUCGACAUGGAGUACCAACCCCUCGUCUCCGCCAACGACACGCGCACCGACACCAUCAGCAUCGACGAUCUCUACGCUCAGAUGAGCAACUUUGAUCAGCGCCUCUCCCUCUACAACAACAACUCGGGCGGGGGCUUCAAGUCAUCUGCUAAUGUUGCCGCUCGUGGCGAUGCCAAAUCUGUGGCAAGUUAG